This 447-nucleotide ribosomal RNA is filed under the name uncultured bacterium. Its description in RNAcentral is "bacterial SSU rRNA". It matches the Rfam family "Bacterial small subunit ribosomal RNA", at positions 355 to 825 of the family's 1533-position model. The record is from RNAcentral.
UGGGGAAUCUUGGACAAUGGGCGCAAGCCUGAUCCAGCCAUGCCGCGUGGAUGAUGAAGGCCUUAGGGUUGUAAAAUCCUUUCGCCGAGGACGAUAAUGACGGUACUCGGAGAAGAAGCUCCGGCUAACUUCGUGCCAGCAGCCGCGGUAAUACGAAGGGGGCUAGCGUUGUUCGGAUUUACUGGGCGUAAAGCGCGUGUAGGCGGGUCGUUAAGUUGGGGGUGAAAUCCCGAGGCUCAACCUCGGAACUGCCUUCAAAACUGGCGACCUGGACCUAAGUAGAGGCAAGUGGAAUUGCGAGUGUAGAGGUGAAAUUCGUAGAUAUUCGCAGGAACACCAGUGGCGAAGGCGACUUGCUGGACUUAUGGUGACGCUGAGACGCGAAAGCGUGGGGAGCAAACGGGAUUAGAUACCCUUGUAGUCCCUGAGCGGGCUGGCAAGGCGCAU